GGGGGAGAUGCUGCAUCAUGGCAUGCACUUGUUUUAUAUUUGCUUUUGGUCAUCUGGCGCGAAUAUGUUUAAUUUUUAGCCAUUGACAGCAAUACCAUCUAAACUGAAACAACCUGUUUUUUACCAUACAUCCGAGGUUUGUUGCUCCAAUAUCAUUAGAGCAGGACAAUAAUGUGGUGAUUUGCGGAGGGUGUAGGCAGUUGCAUGAUACAGUAUCUUUGCAAGUGACCAUUACCAUCAUCAUCAUCCUCAUCAUUAUCAUCCAUAUGGAAAGAAAGAGCAGCUCAAUAGGAAACAAUGGCGGACAACAGUGACCUAAAAGCCCAGCUAGAGCGCAAAAAGCAGCGGCUAGCUCAGAUCAGGGAGGAGAAGAAGAGGAAACAGGAGGAGAAGAAGAGGAAACAGGAGGAGAAGAAGAGGAAACAGGAGGAGAAGAAGAGGAAACAGGAGGAGAAGAAGGAGACAGAGACACAGCAGAAGGCUGAAGCUGCCUCAGUGGACUAGGACCGUGACUUGGACCGGAAGCGCAGAGAGACAGAGGCUCUCCUACAGAGCAUCGGCAUCUCCCCAGAACCACCACUAGUCCCCAUCCAAAUGAGUGAGCCGACACAGCACCCCCAGUGAGACGAGAAGCCAGGACUCAGCCGAUGGGGCAUCAGCCGGCAGGCGCAGGAUACAUAGACUGGGGGCGUCUAAGAUCACACAGGUAGACUUCCUACCCAGAGAGGUGGUGUCGUACUGCAAAGAGACUCAGACGGCCAUCACCCAUCUAUCUGAGGGUGAGUGUGUAAGGUGCGCCUGUGUGCGUGCCUGUGAGUAUUUUAUCAUUACCGUUCUCUCAAUUGCUCCCUCUAUAACCUUCUCUCUAAAAAACAACAUACACUUUUAAAUGUUUUUAUGAUUCCAUUAAAACCAUCAAAAGCAGAGUUCACAUUAAUCUGAUCGUCAUUACUGCUGUAGUGUGCUUUACCACCUGCUUUGAAAACAUGGAGCGCUUUAAAUCCAUUUGACUGGCACAGCCCUCCAUUUCCUGAGAGAGGGAGGGGAGAGAGAGAGAGAG
Long non-coding RNA from Oncorhynchus tshawytscha (Chinook salmon), 1060 nucleotides. RefSeq lists it as uncharacterized. NCBI's taxonomy places the organism in Eukaryota, Metazoa, Chordata, Actinopteri, Salmoniformes, Salmonidae. The record is from RefSeq and is a predicted model, not a curated record. The transcript is spliced from 5 exons.